GACGAACGCUGGCGGCGUGCCUAAUACAUGCAAGUUGAGCGCUGAAGGGUGGUGCUUGUUCCUACUGGGUGAGCAGCGAACGGGUGAGUAACGCGUGGGGAAUCUGCCUUUGAGCGGGGGACAACAUUUGGAAACGAAUGCUAAUACCGCAUAAAAACUUUAAACACAAGUUUUAAGAUUGAAAGAUGCAAUUGCAUCACUCAAAGAUGAUCCCGCGUUGGCUUAGCUAGUUGGUGAGGUAAAGGCUCACCAAGGCGAUGAUACAUAGCCGACCUGAGAGGGGGGACGGCCCAAUCGGGACUGGAGACACGCCCAAGACUCUACGGGAAGGCGCAGUAGGGGAACUUCGGGAAAGGAGGAAAGGCUGACCGGGCAACGCCGGGGGGGGGAAGAAGGGUCUCCGAUCCGAAAACUCUGUUGGUAAGGAAGAACGAUGGUGGGAGUGGAAAGCGCAUAAAGUGACGGUAACUACCCAGAAAGGGACGGCUAACUACGUG
This 497-nucleotide ribosomal RNA is filed under the name uncultured bacterium. RNAcentral's name for it is "partial 16S ribosomal RNA". It matches the Rfam family "Bacterial small subunit ribosomal RNA", at positions 28 to 507 of the family's 1533-position model. The record is from RNAcentral.